UACAGAGGGUGCGAGCGUUGUCCGGAAUCACUGGGCGUAAAGGGCGCGUAGGUGGUGGCUUAAGCGUGCGGUGAAAGCUCGGGGCUCAACUCCAAGUCGGCCGUGCGAACUGGGCUCACUGGAGCAUAGUAGAGGCAGGUGGAAUUCCGGGUGUAGCGGUGGAAUGCGUAGAGAUCCGGAAGAACACCGGUGGCGAAGGCGGCCUGCUGGGCUAUGGCUGACACUGAGGCGCGACAGCGUGGGGAGCAAACAGG
Molecule: ribosomal RNA, 254 nt
Filed under: uncultured bacterium
Lineage: Bacteria
Description: partial 16S ribosomal RNA
Rfam family: Bacterial small subunit ribosomal RNA
Source: RNAcentral